RNAcentral lists this long non-coding RNA (312 nucleotides) under Nicotiana benthamiana. Its description in RNAcentral is "long non-coding RNA (NBEN_LNC038827)". Lineage: Eukaryota; Viridiplantae; Streptophyta; Magnoliopsida; Solanales; Solanaceae. The record is from RNAcentral.
CUUCCUCGUAUCUCCCCUUCCAUGUAACGCCACCGUCACUCCACUGUCCGCCUUCCUCCGCCGGCCGGAAAUCGCCUCCGUUUGCGGCAAAGCUCCAAUCAACCCUAAAUUUGUACCCCGUGACCCUCUCUUCCUCCCCGUUCCAUGUCCAUCAUCAUCUUCUCUUGAAACCCAGCUCAUCUUUUAGAAUUUCAGAUCUAAAAAUGGAUGGAAACCGUAGUUCACCCAAACUUUCCCAAAUCGAUAUCAAAUGAUCCCAUAACCUUCCUCUCCACGAAUUCUUGGUUGAAACUCGUCGAACCUCUCUGAAAC